CUGUGUGUCUUACCAAGGUAGUAUAUACAUGUUGUUAUAUAGAUAAUAAACUGUGUCUUACCAAGGUAGUAUAUACAUGUUAUUAUAUAGAUAAUAAACUGUGUGUCUUACCAAGGUAGUAUAUACAUGUUAUUAUAUAGAUAAUAAACUGUGUCUUACCAAGGUAGUAUAUACAUGUUAUUAUAUAGAUAAUAAACUGUGUGUCUUACCAAGGUAGUAUAUACAUGUUGUUAUAUAGAUAAUAAACUGUGUCUUACCAAGGUAGUAUAUACAUGUUAUUAUAUAGAUAAUAAACUGUGUCUUACCAAGGUAGUAUAUACAUGUUGUUAUAUAGAUAAUAAACUGUGUCUUACCAAGGUAGUAUAUACAUGUUAUUAUAUAGAUAAUAAACUGUGUGUCUUACCAAGGUAGUAUAUACAUGUUGUUAUAUAGAUAAUAAACUGUGUCUUACCAAGGUAGUAUAUACAUGUUAUUAUAUAGAUAAUAAACUGUGUGUCUUACCAAGGUAGUAUAUACAUGUUAUUAUAUAGAUAAUAAACUGUGUCUUACCAAGGUAGUAUAUACAUGUUAUUAUAUAGAUAAUAAACUGUGUGUCUUACCAAGGUAGUAUAUACAUGUUAUUAUAUAGAU
Oncorhynchus keta (chum salmon) is the source of this 630-nucleotide long non-coding RNA. RefSeq lists it as uncharacterized. The record is from RefSeq and is a predicted model, not a curated record. Lineage: Eukaryota; Metazoa; Chordata; Actinopteri; Salmoniformes; Salmonidae. The transcript has 3 exons.